RNAcentral lists this ribosomal RNA (235 nucleotides) under uncultured bacterium. RNAcentral describes it as "partial 16S ribosomal RNA". It matches the Rfam family "Bacterial small subunit ribosomal RNA", at positions 103 to 334 of the family's 1533-position model. The record is from RNAcentral.
CGGGUAGGAGUAACGCGUGAGGAAUCUGCCUCAAAGAGGGGGACAACAGUUGGAAACGACUGCUAAUACCGCAUAAGCCCACGGCUCGGCAUCGAGCAGGGGGAAAAGGAGCAAUCCGCUUUGAGAUGGCCUCGCGUCCGAUUAGCUAGUUGGUGAGGUAACGGCCCACCAAGGCGACGAUCGGUAGCCGGACUGAGAGGUUGAACGGCCACAUUGGGACUGAGACACGGCCCAG